GACGAACGCUGGCGGCGUGCCUAAUACAUGCAAGUAGAACGCUGAAGGAGGAGCUUGCUCUUCUGGAUGAGUUGCGAACGGGUGAGUAACGCGUAGGUAACCUGCCUGGUAGCGGGGGAUAACUAUUGGAAACGAUAGCUAAUACCGCAUAAAAUUGAUUAUUGCAUGAUAGUCAAUUAAAAGGUGCAAUUGCAUCACUACCAGAUGGACCUGCGGUGUAUUAGCUAGUUGGUGAGGUAACGGCUCACCAAGGCAACGAUACAUAGCCGACCUGAGAGGGUGAUCGGCCACACUGGGACUGAGACACGGCCCAGACUCCUACGGGAGGCAGCAGUAGGGAAUCUUCGGCAAUGGACGGAAGUCUGACCGAGCAACGCCGCGUGAGUGAAGAAGGUUUUCGGAUCGUAAAGCUCGGUUGUAAGAGAAGAACGAGUGUGAGAGUGGAAAGUUCACACUGUGACGGUAUCUUACCAGAAAGGGACGGCUAACUACGUG
This 495-nucleotide ribosomal RNA is filed under the name uncultured bacterium. RNAcentral's name for it is "partial 16S ribosomal RNA". It matches the Rfam family "Bacterial small subunit ribosomal RNA", at positions 28 to 507 of the family's 1533-position model. The record is from RNAcentral.